CCACAGAAAGCAAAUCCAACUCAUCUUCAUAGUCCACAAUUUUGAAAGUCUUGGGGAAUAGAUGGAUAAGGUAGAGGAAUAGAGGGGCAAAAUCUAGUUAUUCAGUUAGGAUUAUUUCCACAUUUGUAGUUUAUUCUAUUACUUAUAAAAAUAUGUACAAAGAAGAAUGAAUGGGUGGAAGCAUAGGUAGAAAUGUAUUUCUACUUAUAUGCUCAAUAAAACAUCAGUUUUUCAAGAUUUUCAAGACUUAAGCAGUAUCCUACAGAUUUUGACAAACAGAACCAAAGCUUGUCCAGAUUCAAAAGAGGUAUUCAACUGCUGCCUCUGACGUUGUGUUCACUGGUUCCCAGAUAGGACUAAAUAUAUGAAUCUCAGUUCUGAAACCUGAAGACUUCCCACUGUGCUCAGAAAGUUCUUACAUCAGAAAAACACAAGUUGUUUCAAGAAGUGAUAGCCCAUCAUAUAUUCUUUAUGACUCUUAUUUGCCAUCCUUUUUUUUCCUUUAAACUCUUUUUGGUUCCCUAAAGAAAGCAAAAAUGGCUGCUUUUACUUGAGGGAGAAUAUCAGGAACUGAAAUCCAACUCACAGAACAAGACUGGGAUAAGAGAUGUUAGCUGGAAAUGAUUAAUGAUGGUAAAGACUUAAGAGAGA
Non-coding RNA from Ceratotherium simum simum (southern white rhinoceros), 651 nucleotides. The record is from RefSeq and is a predicted model, not a curated record. Lineage: Eukaryota; Metazoa; Chordata; Mammalia; Perissodactyla; Rhinocerotidae.